Molecule: ribosomal RNA, 650 nt
Filed under: Streptomyces purpureus
Lineage: Bacteria; Bacillati; Actinomycetota; Actinomycetes; Kitasatosporales; Streptomycetaceae
Description: bacterial SSU rRNA
Rfam family: Bacterial small subunit ribosomal RNA
Source: RNAcentral
UGAACCCGCUUCGGUGGGGGAUUAGUGGCGAACGGGUGAGUAACACGUGGGCAAUCUGCCCUUCACUCUGGGACAAGCCCUGGAAACGGGGUCUAAUACCGGAUAACACCGGCUUCCGCAUGGGAGCUGGUUGAAAGCUCCGGCGGUGAAGGAUGAGCCCGCGGCCUAUCAGCUUGUUGGUGGGGUGAUGGCCUACCAAGGCGACGACGGGUAGCCGGCCUGAGAGGGCGACCGGCCACACUGGGACUGAGACACGGCCCAGACUCCUACGGGAGGCAGCAGUGGGGAAUAUUGCACAAUGGGCGAAAGCCUGAUGCAGCGACGCCGCGUGAGGGAUGACGGCCUUCGGGUUGUAAACCUCUUUCAGCAGGGAAGAAGCGAAAGUGACGGUACCUGCAGAAGAAGCGCCGGCUAACUACGUGCCAGCAGCCGCGGUAAUACGUAGGGCGCAAGCGUUGUCCGGAAUUAUUGGGCGUAAAGAGCUCGUAGGCGGCUUGUCGCGUCGGAUGUGAAAGCCCGGGGCUUAACCCCGGGUCUGCAUUCGAUACGGGCAGGCUAGAGUGUGGUAGGGGAGAUCGGAAUUCCUGGUGUAGCGGUGAAAUGCGCAGAUAUCAGGAGGAACACCGGUGGCGAAGGCGGAUCUCUGGGCC